AUUGGACGCUGGCGGCAUGCCUUACACAUGCAAGUCGAACGGCAGCACGGGAGCAAUCCUGGUGGCGAGUGGCGAACGGGUGAGUAAUGUAUCGGAACGUACCUUUCAGUGGGGGAUAACGUAGCGAAAGUUACGCUAAUACCGCAUAUUCUGUGAGCAGGAAAGCAGGGGAUCGCAAGACCUUGCGCUGAUUGAGCGGCCGAUAUCAGAUUAGCUAGUUGGUGAGGUAAAGGCUCACCAAGGCGACGAUCUGUAGCGGGUCUGAGAGGAUGAUCCGCCACACUGGAACUGAGACACGGUCCAGACUCCUACGGGAGGCAGCAGUGGGGAAUUUUGGACAAUGGGCGCAAGCCUGAUCCAGCCAUGCCGCGUGAGUGAAGAAGGCCUC
Molecule: ribosomal RNA, 388 nt
Filed under: uncultured bacterium
Lineage: Bacteria
Description: bacterial SSU rRNA
Rfam family: Bacterial small subunit ribosomal RNA
Source: RNAcentral